CUUCACACCCCAUGGAUUUUUUCCCCCUUGAGACUAGAAAAGGACCUGCAAAACCAUUAACUUCCUUAGAGCUAGCAGCUGGAAAGGCGGGAAGCAACACUCUGAAAGCAAAAGAAUGGCCUCAUUUAUUUAUUUUUGAAAUGACACAUGUAAAACGUGACGACAUGGUCAAAACCAAAAUAUUUUUGAAAAGAGUAAGCAGUUAAAAAUCCCUGUUCCAGAGCCCCAAACUUAAUUCUCUCCCCAGGGAUAACCACUGUUAAAUUGGUGCAGGUCAACCUCGUCCCAAUCCCAAUCCCCCCCUCCUACCCCCACCCCCCAACCCCGCCCUCCACCUGAGGUCUCUGUGUUCUUCACCGGGAGCCUGUCCCACAGACAGGCCUUCGUGUUUGUCCUUCCCUCCACCUGGAAAGGCCCCCUUGCCCUUUCUUUUCUUUUUUGGGAAGGGAUGUUUUAUGUUUAUUAAGAUAUAAUGUUCACAUAGUAAUGUGCACAAACCUUAAAGUGUGCAGCUCAAUGAAUUUCUACAUAAUUUUUUGCAUAUAUAUUCAGCCAGAUCAAGAUGCAGAAUAUUUCCAGCAUGCCGGAAGGCUCCCUCAUGCCUCCCCAGUCGGUACCCUCCCCACAGCCUGAAUAAUAUGCCAUUGUAUGGAUAUACCACAUUCUGUUUAUCCCUGCAUCCACUGAUGGACACUUGGGUUGCUUCCACCUUUUGGCUAUCGUGGAUAAUGCUGCUGUGAACAUGGCUGUACAGAUGUCUCUUAGAGACUCUGCUUUCAGUUCUUUGGGGUGUGUAUCCAGAACUGGAUCAUAUGACACACUCAUCCUUGUCUUGGGAGACAACUCAAAGUCACACCCAGGAUCUCCACGUCAAGCACAUUCUUCCCCCUCGAACCAGGAGCUUCCAGUACCAGGGAGGAGGAAAGGAGAGAGAGCCAAGAGACAAGGAAAGGAAGAGAAAGAAGAGGAACAGAGAGCACCCCAAAGUACCACAAACUGAGUGGCUUGUAAACAACAGAAACUUACUGCUCACCCUUCUGGAGGCUGGAUCCGAGAUGAGGGUGCCAACAUGCCUGGGUUCUGCUGAGGGCCCUCUGCCGGGUUGCCGAUGGCUUGCUAUGUCCUCACAAGGCAGAAGGAAGGGGGUCCCAAGGCAGCUGUUCCCUCAAGACUGUCCAGCCUGCAGCUGCCAAGCUCAGAGGCCAGCCCAGCUACAGGAUCAGCUCAGCGUGGUCACUCUCGACCCCACUCCUCCCCUCCUCACUCCUUCUGUUCUCCAUUUCCUGUCCUGGGUGUUCCUUGUCGCCACCAGCAGUGGAAGAAGAUGAGACUGUGUCUGUGAGCAGAAGAGCAUCACUGGACUCAGCUGAGAAAACUGGGAGGAAGCUUCGAAUGGAUAUCUGCAUACUUGUGUUCACAGCAGCAUCAUUCACAGUAGUCAAAAGGCAGAAGCAACCCAAAUGCCCAUGGACAGAUGAGGGGGUAAACAAAAUGUGAUGUACACAGACAAUGGGAUAUUAUCCAGCCUCAAAAAGGAAGGAAAUUCUGACACACACUACAACAUGGAUGAACCUUGAAGACAUUAUACUAAUCGAAAUAAGCCAGACACAAGAGAACGAGUACAAUAUGAUUCCAUUAAUGUGAAGUAUCUGGAAUAGUCCAAUUCACAGAGACAAAAGGAGAAUGGUGGUUACCAGAGGCUGGAAGGGGUUGGGGAAGGGAGAAUUAGUGUUUAACGGGCGCUGAGUUUCAGUCUGGGGAGCUGAAAAAGCUCUGGUGAUGGAUGCCGGUGAUGAUGGCACAACUACCUGAAUGUACCUAGUGCCAAUGAACUGUACACUUAAAAAUCGUUAAAAUGAUAAAUUUUAUGUUAUGUAUAUUUUAUCACAAUAAAAAAUUUAAGGGCUGGCCCCGUGGCCGAGUGGUUAAGUUCGCGCGCUCCGCUGCAGGCAGCCCAGCGUUUCGUUGGUUCGAAUCCUGGGUGCGGACAUGGCACUGCUCAUCAGACCACGCUGAGGCAGCGUCCCACAUGCCACAACUAGAAGAACCCACAACGAAGAAUAUACAACUAUGUACCGGGGGGCUUUGGGGAGAAAAAGGAAAUAAUAAAAUCUUUAAAAAAAAAAAAAAUU
Molecule: long non-coding RNA, 2132 nt
Filed under: Equus asinus (donkey)
Lineage: Eukaryota; Metazoa; Chordata; Mammalia; Perissodactyla; Equidae
Description: lncRNA (ENSEASG00005036895.1)
Source: RNAcentral